CCUGGAAGGAGACAUGAGGCGUUCAAAGCGCAUGUCCUCCGACGGACACAGCGGGCCAGCACUGCGUGGACACGGGGCUAACAUUACCCAGUUUCUGAGCCUUUAACUGGGAACAAAGACAACAAACCGGAUGCCUCUAUGAUCCAGCUAACCUUACGGCGAGACAUACAGUGUUCAGUUUACACAAGCAGACGUGAGCCAUGGCUGAGCCAAAUGCCUCCCGUCCACAGAGGAAGAUGUCCACAGCUGGGGAGAGUGUUUACAAGGUCCUAGGACUGGAGAAAGGAGCCUCAGCUGAGGACAUCAAGAAAGCCUACAGGAAACUCGCACUGAAGUAUCACCCAGAUAAAAACCCAGACAACCCAGAGGCAGCUGAGAAGUUUAAAGAGAUUAACAACGCCAAUUCAAUUUUAACUGACGAGACCAAGAGGAAGAUUUAUGACGAGUAUGGCUCUAUGGGCCUUUAUGUGUCCGAACAGUUCGGAGAGGAAAGUGUCAAAUACUACUUCCUCAUGUCCAAGUGGUGGUUUAAGGGUUUGGUCCUGUGUUGUACGCUCUUCAGUUGUUGCUGCUGUUGCUGCUGCUGUUGUUUCUGCUGCGGGAAGUGUAAGCCACCCGAUGAUGACGAAAACUAUCAGUAUGUUGACCCCGAAGACCUGGAGGCCCAAAUUAAAGCAGAGCAGGACGGAGGUAACACAGUAAUCAUAGGCCAGCCCACAUCUAAGCUGAGUCCUGAAAGCCCAGAAGGCCAGCAGAGCCAGCCCAUCCCCCUCCCAUUGCCCAUGCCACCACCUGAGCCCCAGUCGCCAACCGCAGCCAGUCCAGCGGGGGAAGAAAACCCCGGAGAGACGUUACCAGAGUCGAAAUGACUCGAAAGUGACGGUAUGGAUGAGCCUCAACUAUCAGAAGCAGGUCAUUUCCUCCUAUCGAGUUCCUGUUACAAUCCAGCCACAUCUGACUGCUGCCAGCGACCCAGAGACCAACCAGCCCAAAGCCACCAGCCAGCCCCAGCCCACGCCUCCAUCCUGACAACAAACAUCUCCUAACAGUAAUGUACCUGACCCUCCGACUGAAAACGCCCGUCAGGUGCCCUCCCUCCCUCUGCAGAACUGGAAGAUGGCGGUCUGUUCAUGCACAUUCGCCUCCUCGCUGAGCUCUGAAAAUCCAUCAGUAAAAGAGCCAGACCAGCUUAGAGGUACAAGGCCAACCAGUCAUGUGCAGUGGCUUUUAUUUUUCUCCCCAGUCUCUUUUUUUCCCGCCCCCUGCAUAGUCUGGGCUCGACGUGGCCUUCCUCGCUGUUCAGUCAUCCAGGGCUAGGCUUGUCAACAUGCCUGUACUCCUUACUAAUCUGUUUUCACCAUCCCAUUUCAACUAGUAAGGGGGAAAACAGGUCAAAACGGGGGACAAAGAAAGUGUGGAAAGGUGAUCCUUAUUGUUUAUGCUUAAAAUCCAGACCAGGACUGGACUGAUUCUCUUUAUUUUUUAGGUUCUUUGUUGUCUGUCCCAGCCAUCCCUGCAUUAACUACAGCCAUUUUGGACUUCAACAGAUGGGUUUUCAAUUUUUUUCCCCCCAUAGCUUUUUACUUGCUUCUAAACAUCUUUGAAAAAUCAAACCCGUGAGAAAUCAUGUUAAAAUCACUCCAGUUUUAUAAUGGGGUGCCUAAUGGUCAUCAUAAACAAAGAACUACUUUUUCCCCCCAUUUCUCCCUCCAUCUCGUCUUAUUUUAUUCAUCACAAUCGGCAAAAAUUCCUUCUCUUCACUGUAAUGUAACUUACUGCUGAGUUUAAAAAACUGUUUAAUCGGAGGAGGUGGAGAGAGCUACAUUUACUACAGUUGUGAAUUUUUUUACAUUUCACAUGAACGCACAUCUGAAAAGAGAAAGAACGUGACAAAACCAGACUGACUGUUUGGUUGGAUGCAAAAUGUCUGAGCCAAAAACGGGAGCUAAGGUUUUAGGUUUUAGAGGGUCAGUUAGGAGUAGAAGUGAGGUUUUGUUUUGUUUUUUUUGUUUUUUUUGUUUUUUUUCCUCCCCCAUCAACAUGCAUGCAUUUUUGUCCUGGUGCAUGCCCCUAAUGACUGUACAGCACGGGAAUACACACCCCAAACCACACCCAUGGAAGAGCCACCUGACCUUCCCAAACAGACAUUCAGACUCUGGUUACACUCGUGCUUUACAACAACACACACUUAUACCAACUCCUAUGUCAACCUGUGUGAAAAAGUGACCCCCUUCUGAUUAAUCUCAGCUCAAAUGGAGAGUGAAAAAGGCCAUGUGAUGAAGAAGAAACUUGGUACUGAAGUUUAAACCAGAAGAUUAACUUUUUCCACAGUUUUUUUUUUUGUCAUCUGUAUUAAUUUUUUUUUUUUUUUUGGUAGACCAAAGCUAACAGCUCCAUGUAGCCAUCCAUAUUUAGUCAGGACCACACUGGUUGAAAUGUCAUUUGCUCUGAAAACCACAGUUCUGUUUGUCAAAGCAGUUUGUAUAUUAUGCAUCUUGGUCACCGUAUGAAGCGGGUCCGUUAAUUUUUUUUUCUUCUGUUUUUUUAAGUACCUCAUGCUUCCAGAACUACACUAACCGAUCUAUCUCAGGUCCAGAUUCACUAAGGCUGCAUUACAGAGAAAUCUUUUUUAUUAGAUUUUUGAUUGCACUUCUUCUUGCAUCUUGUUUUUUUUUUUUUUUUAACUCAUAGAUUAUCCAAAUGGGUCAUGGAAAAACAGAAUAAAUAAGGUUGUCUGCCAGCUCAGUGCUGUUUUCAAUUAGGUCCUGCAUUUUAUAAUAACAGAAACCUUGUAUUAUCACCAUAAAAUUCUCUGACCUAUCUUAUGUUUACAACAUAGAAAACUUGCUCACUUCCUGACUAUGCUGUGCCUUGAAAAAUAACUGCAGCAUCAGUGAUUUUUGCCGCAGUAUUGUGUUGUCACCUUUACAUGUUGUACAAUAAUGUGAAAUUGUUUUGCACGGUGACCGGUACGCAGCUUUCCACAUUCAGGAUACAGGGUGAUUAGUGUGGCUUUCUAAUUCUUCUCUGCACAAACAGUUAGUGAAUCUGGAUCAGCUUUUAUUUGAUUUAUAAAGUGAGGAUAAUCUAACAUCUAAUACAAUUUUAUCCACCUGACUGCAAGUUAACAUGUUUUUAUUAUUUUUUAAGUUGAUUUGUUUUCAUUGCAUAGACAGACUUCAUGAGUGUUUUUAUAUCACUUUUGGAUGUCGAGCACCAUCUGUUUGGGAAAUCCUGCAUAAAACUGAUCGUUUAUCAUUAAUACAGUUUACUUGAACUAUUCACUACAAUAGUACUUUUAGUAUUAGUUCUGGUGUGACUCAGUUGAUAAGUUUUGCCUAUUAAAAAAAAAAAAAAAAAAAGAAUUUCCCCUUGGUUUGAGUUCUUUUCAUACUGGGCAAAAAAUCCAAGCAAAUCAAAAUGUGUCUGCACAAACCACCUUUAUUUAUUAGCUGCGUCUUAAGCCAGGAGCAAUAAGUUAAAUAUUUUUAAUAAAGGUAAAAUGGGUCACAAUGAAGGAUUGUCACUCUACAUAGAUGUCCUUGGAAAUAAAUUGUAUUCACUCGGGAGAACAGAUUUCUUUAAUAGACUACAAUAAAAAAUCCAACCGUCAAAUUUACAUUCUAUUCAGUAAAAAAUGAAAUGCAGAAAGGACCAUUCUCGCUAAUCACAAUAUUCAAAUGAGAAAGUAAAUGCAGGAACAAGUUCUGUAAGAGGUUUAUUCUCCUAGAAUGAAAAGCUGAAGACAGACGGUAUUUGACUUCCACUUGUAGACAGUCUCAAACCUGACCAAAGUCAUCAAGUGGGAAAACAAGCUAGAAUUUAAUUUAACCAGAAUAGAGCCAGAGUCAGCUCUACAUGGAUCAAAUAGUGUACUCUGCUCUGUUAGAAGUCAGAGGUCAACCACAGUUUCAUCCAUAGAAGAAACUAAGAAAAGUAAAUAGAGCUGAAGCCCUGCCCCUUCUGGUUGUUUCCCAUAGGACAAAAUUAUGUAACAGUCAAAGGUGAGAGACAAGUCAUUUUUGAUCUCCAUUGGAUUGUGCAUCAUUUAUAGAUAUGAUGUUUCUGCAAAUUAGAAGAUAAUUUUACAGGUCAAGAACAUUGCAGUUUGUGGUAAAACUGUUGAACUAUCAGAUUGUGAAAAUACGCAAAUACAAAGACCACGCACCAGAAAGUUAAGGAGGCAAUGUCAUAGUAACUGAUCAUUAUCUUUUCAGAAUCAUUGAUUAACUCAUAUGUGCAGCUUCAGCAUGACCACACUUGUCGUGAUUUUUACAUCUGUUCAUACUUUUUUCACCUCACGCUGAAGCGAAAUAUACAAAGGCAGGGGCAGUUUUGAUGAUGAUGCAGUUCAUUGAAUGGUUUCACACAUUUUUACAACUUUUUUCACACAGAUGUUUAUCUUCGUCAUAAACUGGAUUUCUUGGCUCGUAAAAGCAUACUUUAAAUUGACAAAUAUAUUUAUGGCGUGGUGGCACAAUUCAUACGCAAUCAAAAAAUGAUCUCUUGGCAUUGAUGUCUGUUCAUAUUUUUUCUAAAGUUGGACCUUGUGUGGGGCAGGGAAAGGGAUGGCCUCUUGGAUUUAUUUGUUUUUAACUCAAAAUGUUUGUGUUUUUUGAAUCAUGCGGACUUGUGUUAAAUUUCAUCUGGUACUUUCAUGUCAUAUUUAAAGUUAAAAUAUGAGAAUCAUAACAUUAGAAUGGUAUUUUUUGGAAGCACUUUAAUUUUGCUCUUAAGUUUGACCCAAAUUCUCUAGUCACAAGCAUCUGAAUACGCUCAAUAUUUCACCAUGCAGCAUUUGGGGAACUGUGAUGGCCUCAAUUAAUUACAUAGAACAUACUGUAUUAAGCUAAGUGUUAGUUUUUUUGGUGGGAAAGUGUCCAAUGCAUAGUGUUGUUGGUUUUAGGUGAUUGGUUUUUUUUUUUGUUUUUUUUUCAUGGAAAUAUCUUCCUGUUAAGGUGGCACAGUGAAAUUUUAAGUGUUUUUGUUUUGUUUUUUUUCUCAGAUGCUUAAUAAUGCUAUAGUUUCUCUGUGCAUCUACCUAAAGUCAACGCCAUACUAGUAAACUACUACUGUGGUAACAUUGCAACCCUCAGCCAAGCUCUUUGUUCCCUUUUGUCCAUUUUAAAGUGGAAACCUGCCAAGAUUAAAAUUAUCCUUUAAACUUUAAAUCAGCUCAUAACUGUCAACAAAAAUAAUCCAAACUUUAUCGACAUCCUUUUAUCUGAAACUUCCUUAUCCGUCAGCCAAACCUCUCAUGUGGUCUCAGAACAUUUCAACAUUUUCAUGCUAUAAUUUUGUCUUCCUUCAGAUGCAUGAGACUGCAGUGGUGCCAUGGAGCACUGAAAGAGGACCUAUGAUUAUUUAUUAUUUUGUAAUUGUUGUAAAUAAGACCGUAUCUCAUAAUUCAGCAAAGUGACUGACAGAUUUCCUUGUUGUUAAUGGAAAUGUUUUAUGAACCAGUGUCUCUUUUAACAGUGUACAUACAUUUUUAUUUUGAUUUUUAUGUCGCAUUGACAUAAUUUAAUUUUAACCUGAAGAAGCAGCGGCAGUGGGGUUGUCAACUUGUUGGUCAAUUUGGGUGUUAAAAGACGAGCUCAGACUGUUUAGUGAUAAUGCAUUCGACGUUCUUCUCAUCACUUUUUAAAUAUGUUGACCGGUCGACAAUCAACCACCAGAAGUUGCUGUAUGUCUCUAAACAUUGGUGAGGACGAUGCAAGUGAAGGCGUUUUAUCAUUAUAGAAGGGUUUUGUUUGUUUUUUGGGGAUGUGUUGCUCACUGUUGUGGUUCCCUGUGGAUGAUCUGUAAAUGAGUUAUUAGAAAUUCAACCAAAUAAAAGGGGGAUUUUAUAACA
This is an RNA transcript of Sphaeramia orbicularis (orbiculate cardinalfish), 5854 nucleotides long. It is a transcript of the gene named DnaJ (Hsp40) homolog, subfamily C, member 5 gamma a, with no coding region annotated. The record is from RefSeq and is a predicted model, not a curated record. NCBI's taxonomy places the organism in Eukaryota, Metazoa, Chordata, Actinopteri, Kurtiformes, Apogonidae. The transcript has 7 exons.